CAGCCGCCGCGGUAAUACGUAGGGUGCGAGCGUUAAUCGGAUUUACUGGGCGUAAAGCGUGCGCAGGCGGCCCGUUAAGACAGGUGUGAAAUCCCUGGGCUCAACCUAGGAAUUGCGCUUGUGACUGGCGGGCUCGAGUACGGUAGAGGGGGGUGGAAUUUCUGGUGUAGCAGUGAAAUGCGUAGAGAUCAGGAGGAACACCGAUGGCGAAGGCAGCCCCCUGGGCCUGUCCUGACGCUCAUGCACGAAAGCGUGGGGAGCAAACAGGAUUAGAUACCCGGGUAGUCCACGCCCUAAACGAUGGGUACUAGCCGUUUGGUGCGCGAUAGCGCUGAGUGGCGAAGCUAACGCGUGAAGUACCCCGCCUGGGGAGUACGGCCGCAAGGUUGAAACUUAAAGGAAUUGGCGGG
RNAcentral lists this ribosomal RNA (410 nucleotides) under uncultured microorganism. Its description in RNAcentral is "bacterial SSU rRNA". It matches the Rfam family "Bacterial small subunit ribosomal RNA", at positions 509 to 917 of the family's 1533-position model. The record is from RNAcentral.